This is a long non-coding RNA of Branchiostoma belcheri (Belcher's lancelet), 275 nucleotides long. RefSeq lists it as uncharacterized. The transcript has 3 exons. Lineage: Eukaryota; Metazoa; Chordata; Leptocardii; Amphioxiformes; Branchiostomatidae. The record is from RefSeq and is a predicted model, not a curated record.
GUGAUUGCCGGAGCCACCCUUGGCAGUGUCUUUGUUUUAGUUCUGAUGUUCAUCGCAGUUGUGUCUGCGCCUAAACUACGCCAAACGUGCAUAAGAAUAUCGUACAUUCCAAAACCGAAAGACUUCAUCACGGAAGAGCUUCCAGUGACCAAUGGAAAGUCUACACCCUCCCUGGACCAACUGUACUUGGUCACUGACAAAGCAAAGAUGGCGCCGGAGAUAGUGGACAACAUCAUGGACUUAAAAACUUUUGAACUUGGACCAUGUGAUCCUGC